RNAcentral lists this long non-coding RNA (1173 nucleotides) under Canis lupus familiaris (dog). RNAcentral describes it as "lncRNA (ENSCAFG00040023432.1)". The record is from RNAcentral. Lineage: Eukaryota; Metazoa; Chordata; Mammalia; Carnivora; Canidae.
GCGACCCCCGCCCGGUCCCCGUGGCCGCGGCCGCAGCCCCGACCGCGACCCGGGGCGGCAGUGGGCGGCGGGUGGGUCGUGGGGAUCGCAGGCAGGGUCGACCCGCAGGCGCUGGGCGGGGACAGGACUGCCGUCCGUGCGGGCGCCACGGCUGAGCUAGCGCGCGGGCUGGAAGUUUGUGCCCCGUCGUGGCCGAGGUCGGCGCGUGCUGAGGUAAGGAGCAGAAGCGACGGGGUGGGCGACCUGGUGGUGGGCGAGGCGGGACCCCCGCCACACGCCUCGGGAAGGGGCGCAGGGGGCUUUGUGCGCGCACCCGGCGCGCGUCCAGGAGCUCGGUCGCGAGCGGUGCGCGGGGGUCCCCGCGGCUUGGGCUUCGCCGCCCCACCGGCUGGGGCGGGUUUUCGUGUUCGAGUUACACGGGGGUGUUGCGGCGCGCGCGAGAACCCGGGAGGCAGAGGGACUUGGGCUCAAGUCCGCCGAGCGCUUUGGUGGAGGGCGAGUGAGGCUGGGGAUGCUGGGGAUGCGGUGCUCGGGCCGCCUGACGGGCUGCGGCCGGGCGAGUCGCUUUCCGCCGUACGGCUUCGCGGCUGCACGGUUUCGCACCCCCUGGAUCGGGGCUUCGGGGCCGGAGGUGCAUUUGGUCCCCGGAGGGACCUGGCGCUCUCGAGAUGUGCGGGGAGACCGCCGCCAAGGAGUGGAGCGGGCUCGCUUCCCGCGGCGCCGGUGCCCGGCUUACCGCAGGCCGAGCCGGAUUCCCGGGGCUUUGGCGGGAAGCGCGCGCACCUCCUCGCCCUUUCCUUGCUUUGUACCUGGAUGCGGCGGCUCAGAGUUGGGAUUGAACUUUCCUGCGCCCGCGGCGGCCCGGGGAUCGCCGGCAGGGGGCGCUGCGAGCGAGCGCUGGAAGCGGCGGAGAGGCUGCUGAGCGGUGCCGAGUCCUGGAGUCCCGGAGUCCUGGGUGGGUGGGGGGUGGGUCCCGGACCCGGACCCGGACCCCGCGGAUCCGGCCGUGAUUUCAGAAGGGUGGGGGUGGGGCAGCGGAUCCGUGAACCAGGGGCAGCUCUCAGCGUUGCCAAGGGAAGGACACGAGAGGUGGUUGCCGAACACAAGGUUUCUUCCAGAGACCAACGUAUCCCUGCAAACUCCUCCUGUCUGUGCAGCUGUCUUCCUCCUUGA